This is a non-coding RNA of Heterocephalus glaber (naked mole-rat), 285 nucleotides long. The record is from Rfam. NCBI's taxonomy places the organism in Eukaryota, Metazoa, Chordata, Mammalia, Rodentia, Bathyergidae.
GGAUGUGAGGGCAAUCUGGCUGCGACAUCUGUCACCCUAUUGAUCGCCAGGGUUGAUUCGGCUGAUCUGGCUGGCUAGGCGGGUGUCCCCUUCCUCCCUCACCGCUCCAUGUGUGGACCACCACCCCCCAUAGAGGAGGACCAUUUCCUCAUCAAGGGUAUAUGGGUAGCUGCGCUCCCCUGCUAGAACCUCCAAACAAGCUCUCAAAAAAGCAAACACAAAAGAUUGUUAUAAGUUCAAAAAGUUUAAAUGCUUCCAUUUUGCUUAAUUCAAUUAAGAACCUGU